GCUUACGAAGCUAAUAUUAAAUAGCUCUGGUCUUGUAAACCAAAGAUAGGGAAAUUCCCCUUAAGCU
RNAcentral lists this transfer RNA (67 nucleotides) under Lepidonotus sp. YZ-2018. RNAcentral describes it as "tRNA-Thr". The record is from RNAcentral. Lineage: Eukaryota; Metazoa; Annelida; Polychaeta; Phyllodocida; Polynoidae.